This 3572-nucleotide long non-coding RNA is filed under the name Solanum tuberosum (potato). Its description in RNAcentral is "long non-coding RNA (STUB_LNC007381)". Lineage: Eukaryota; Viridiplantae; Streptophyta; Magnoliopsida; Solanales; Solanaceae. The record is from RNAcentral.
ACAUGGGAAGUGAAAGAGAGCCUAAGAAUGACAGAGUUAUUUAACUAAGGACAUGCCUCUUUGCGUAAUGUAAUUGAAAGAACAUUUGGUGCGUGGUAAAGUAGAUUCAGAAUACUGUGACAAGGCAUGAACAACUAUGAAUUAGACAUGCAAGUGAAAAUAGUAGUUGCUUGUGCUGUAUUACAUAAUUUUUUGCGUGAAAAUCAAAGCAAUGAUGAAAUAUUUAAUGAACAUGAACGUGAUGAUAUGGUUACUGAUGAAGAUGACGAACAAUCAACUCAAAGUAACAAUAUUAUUUCGUCUUCUCAGUCAUCUAAAAGCUUGUCGGGAGGAGAUUGUUGUAGACAUUAAAAUUUUGUGGGACUACAAGACGUGUUCAAUUCGAAUUGGGACUCUAGAAGGUGUGUUCAGAUUCAAUUAAAAUUCUCGGAGUCUACUCAACCCUAAACUCUAGUCCAUGCCUAUAUAAAUGGUACUAAAUUCCCUUAAAGGGCAUCUCGAAAAUUCCACAAGUUGAUGGAAUAUUCAUAUAGAUGUCAAAUCUAAAAGAAUAGUUUGUUAUUAUAUCCUCCGGAGGUUGUUAUAAUUAUAACUGAAUCAAUGACAAGUUUGAAUAUGCAUUAAUGUAUUGCUCUUGUAUAUAUUAUUAUUUUGUUGUUGUUGAUUGUUAUCAAUUAUGUUAUAAGGUUAUUUUUAACAGAACAUAUUCAUUAUAAAUAGAUAAUACAAAUUUAUGGAUAUUUUUAAUAGUUUUUAAAACUUAUGUGUAUAAAUCAUAUUUUUUUGAAAGAGUCAAACAUUUUUGGGAAACUUGGGGCCAAACACAGGCUAUUAACUUGGAAAAAACUUGACUCAAGUAUUAUUUGACAAAAAUACUUGGAAACUUGGGGACAAACGCUAGCUAAAAGAGUUUAAAUAAGUUAGUAAAUUAAUUAAGGGAAAAAUAUGUCCAAGAGGAUCCACAUAGGAAAAUUAAAGUGAGCCAUGAGAAUUUAACGCAAUAGAAAUAAAUAUGAUUAUUAGAGUAUAAAAGUAAAUAUAACCCCUAAUUUGAACGAAGAGGACAAAUAUGUUAAGGACAUGCGAAUUUAACAUCGUAAUUCGUAAGCAUAAAUAUGACCUUUUUGAAAGUACAAGGAUAAAUAUGAUCCAAAAGUUGAAUAAAAAGGCAAAUAUAUUAAGGACAUGAAGAUUUAAUAUCGAAGGAAUAAAUAUGACUCUUUUUUAAUACAAAGAUAAAUAUGAUUUUAAAAUUAAACAAAAAUGACAAAUAUAUUUUUAAAGUAUAAUGAAGGGCAUAUAUGACUUAUUUGUGACUUGUAAGAGCAUAAGGACAAAUAUAACCCUUUUCUAUUUAAUAAUAUCUCUGGUGUGUGAGUGUAGGGCAUUUGAAAUGCUAAAGAACCGUUCGUUCAACUAAUCAUUCCGAACAUGUAUAGAAAAUUAUAGCUCGUGGCCAAGUAAGAAAUUGCCACACCUUCAUUUCAUGUUUUGUUUGAUACACUUUCUUUUUUAAAUCUAAAGAAAAAUACCUUGCUUUUUUUUUUUUUUAUGACAAGGGAAACCAUAGCCGCUACCCUUUGGGUGCGCACAGGGUAAAACCUCUGCUCAUAUGCAAUAGCUCGCAAACCACAUAGGAGAGGUAACUCACACCAGGUAAGCCUGGUGUGACGAGCUCAACCCAGAAGACAAACCCCUUGCUUUCGCUGGCAAGGGGUUUCGAACUUGAGACCUCCAACAUGGAAGUCCCAAGCCCAAACCACUGGGCCACCCCGAAGGGUCCUUGCUCUUUGAAAACAAUUAAUCUUACCAUUCUCAUUUUCCCCUUACGUAGUGAGUAAAUAAGAUUUCUUGCCCUCUUAGAAAUUGAAUUUUAGAAAAUAAUCUUUUCACAUCUCUCAUUGUAAAAAUGAAGAUCUCUCGUAAAAACAACUUAAAGGCGAAAAACAGUUUGUGAAGGACUAGAAAACCAUCUUUUCUGAUUUAAACAAAACAAGGACGUUCCUAUUUUCAAAUGAACAGAUAGGCAAGGAAAGUAUGUCAACAUUACAUCCCAACAUACAUGUAAGCAAUGACACAACCAUUUGGUAAACACUAAAAAUAACAAAUAACAAAGAUGAAUUUCACUUAGGAUUUUGGUUAAAAAUAAUGUUGUAAGUGGCCUCGAUCUAUCUCUAAAAAGAAAUGAUUAAGACAGAGCUAGUUUGAAUGAGUCAUAUCGAAUAAGUUUUAAAACCACAACCGCCCAUUGGAAUGUAGUAUUACUAUUCAUAUUUCCAUCACCCACUGCCCAUGGUUUCUUCAAAACAACGAAUUGCAAUUUAUAAGGAAAUACCAAACUAACGUACGUUACCAAAAGAACAUAAACAAGUCCAAGUUGACUCAUUAGGAUAAUAGAAAAGAGAAAAACACAUGCAUGCAAUGAACUUUUAUGUGACAUGUAAGCAUUCUAUCAGGAAAAUUCUUACCUACAUAUCAAAGCUAAACUAAUAAUUCAGAGAUAAACUAAUAAAUCGCACCAAAUUUAGGGGUGUUUUUUAUGUCCUCUUUGUAAGACAUAAAUUGACUAUAGAUUUGUCAAAACAAAAAAAUAAUAGAACCAAUCACAUGGCUCUUGAUAUGAAGUGAAUUUGGACUCACUACUAUUCCGAUCCUUUCUCCUUCAAAAGAGGUAAUUAAUUAAGUUACAACUGCAACUACCUGAUAUUCAAAUCUAACUGCUUUUUUUUUAAAAAGAAAAAUAAAAUUGUCCCACCAUGUAAAUAAUAUUCUACUACUACGGCUAUAUAUAGUCCGGCAAUUGCCUUCCUUUUCUUCAUACUGAACUUAAAAAAAACAGAAGAAGAUGGAGAUUCCGGUUAUCGACUUCAGUAAGCUUGAAGGUGAGGAGAGAAGUGCAACCAUGUCACUACUCCAUCAGGCUUGUGAAAAAUGGGGCUUUUUUAUGGUAAUGAAUGAACGCAUGUAUAAUUCUGUUUUUUAAGUAGUACUAAGCACUUUUGAUAAGAUGCUAAUAUUGAUAAGAAACUAAUGCAGAUAGAGAAUCAUGGAAUUGACACUUACUUGAUGGACAAUGUGAAGCAGCUCGUGAAUCAGCACUACGAAGCCAACAUGAAGAAGCGAUUUUAUGAAUCAGAGCUACCUAUGAGUUUAGAGAAGAAAGGAAACAUCAGCAACACAGACUGGGAAAGCACAUUCUUUGUUUGGCAUCGUCCAACUUCCAACAUCUAUGAGAUUCAAGGUCUCUCAAAGGAACUUUGGUAAGUCACCAACACCACAGCAUAAAGCUUCAACAAUUCAAUAAAUAUGCUAGAAUUAAUGAGCACAGACGUACAACUUACCGAUGUCCUGCACUAAGAAUAUUUCAUUAUUAUUGAAUUUCACAUUUGAAGUAUGUUGCGUGCAGCAAAGCAGUAGAUGACUAUAUUGAUCAGCUGAUCGAACUUGCAGAAAAUCUUUCAGAACUAAUGUGUGAGAACCUUGGCCUAGAGAAGAGUUGCAUCAAAGAAGCAUUUUCAGGCAGCAAGGGUCCUUCUGUUGGAACAAAAGUAGCGAUAUAUCCUCAAUGUCCU